RNAcentral lists this long non-coding RNA (445 nucleotides) under Mytilus galloprovincialis (Mediterranean mussel). The record is from RNAcentral. Lineage: Eukaryota; Metazoa; Mollusca; Bivalvia; Mytilida; Mytilidae.
CCACAAUUAUUUCGUAGUGCAUUUCUUUUAGAACAUAAAUGUAAAAAAAAAAAUCUCACCUGCGCUUUCUCAAAGAAACUUUUACAGUGUGUUGUAGUACUUUUGGGACAAAUUAUAUCAAAAUUAUAGAAAACGUCAUCGUCUCUAACUCAAAAUAUGGACAAUUUUAUCUUUAGGGCGUCUUGAAAUCUUUUGACAGCUUUCGAAGUGCUUUUUUUCAACCUUUUUCACCUGGACCAAAUCACUACUUUCCUCUAAAAUUCUGGACCCAAAUUUUUUCACAGUGUAAUUUCACCCCCCUACUUGCAAUUUGAGGCAUUAAACAUGGAGAAAUAAAUUUGGAAGGGAUAUAAAAAUUAAUGGCAAGUAACCCACUGUCAACACUAGGGACUAUAUUUGUGAACAACGAAAAUCAAGGGACGACAAUUGUGGUCUCGGACCUAUA